Solanum lycopersicum (tomato) is the source of this 1257-nucleotide non-coding RNA. The record is from RefSeq and is a predicted model, not a curated record. NCBI's taxonomy places the organism in Eukaryota, Viridiplantae, Streptophyta, Magnoliopsida, Solanales, Solanaceae.
UCUUUUCUCUUUCUAAAACAAAGAGAGUGUUCUUAUUUUAACCUUCUCCCCGCAUCUAAGAUAUUUUAUUUCUCUGUUCUGAACUUUUUAAUUCUUUGCCUUUGUAGUCAAAAAUUGAUCAAAGAGACUGUCAUAAAAAAAUUGUUCAAAGAGAUACGGGAUCAAAAUUUUGAAGUUGUCGUCCAGUGUGAUUAUAGGUUCUACGUCAAAAAACAACUUCUGUGAAGCAAGAUUACACAAAAAUGCAGACCAUGAACCAAAUAGUCUCCGAAUUGAAGGAUUUUGUCAAAAAGUUACUCAUUGCCGGAAAAGUUCAUUCAUGGGAUUUCAUCAAAGAUUUUGCAAUAUAAAAUCAGUAAAAUUUGUCUGCACUAUUCUCACUAUUAACUUUGUUCACAAUUGCAGGAGACCAAAAGCAACUGGAUAACGAUUAAGCGUGCUCUGUGGCUUGUAGUGGAGUCCCAACGAUAUCUUCUAUGACGAACCUAUUGAAGAAAGGUUGAAGUUGCUGCCAGGUCUACACUCAGAUAUUAAGAGGAGUGGAUUUUCCAGUAGUCCGUUGCUGGACUCAUUAAACGGGUCUUUGCAUAACUCAGACAAGUAUGUACCAAAGGAACAUCCGCUAACUGGCUUUGUAACAAUUCUUCCUAUAGAACAGUCAAAAGAAAGUAAAUAGUUGUUGAUGGAAGGCGUUCUUUGGUUCUUGUCGUUUUCAUUGGUGGAGACAUCUGCAGAGAUCUCAGCUCUUCACUUCCUAAGCGCCCAUGUCAGUCUACUAAGACUUAAUCAUGUAAAUUCCCAGCUCUCGUUGGAAACACACUAUAGAAAAGGAACUCAAAAGAUAAAUUACACUGUUAUACUAUUACAGGAAGUGAUGGAAUAUGACAUUAUUGUAGCAACUACAAAAAUUGUCAACGGAAGCACAUUGACAUAAACAUUUGUGGAGAAAAUGGGAUUGUUUGCUAAGACCUAUUUGGUCGAUUAUCACUGGAAAAUCUAGCUGCUUGCGCGAUAGGGACCCGUAGUUUUUGGUGCUACAUUUUUAUAUACAUGUGAGAAGAUCAAGUAGACUUAUUGUUCCUAAGAUGUUCCUCUCGUGAUAGGUUGUGAACAUUUUUUCUGCUUGGAUUUGUAACGAACACAACUAUGUUGUCUUUAUUAAGGUAUUUCCUAAGAACGCCCUGUGUGCUUUGAGUGGUAUAAAGAUUGGAGUUUGAUUAGUUUGUUAUCUAAAUUACAUUUGGUUCGUUUGAGAAA